This 375-nucleotide ribosomal RNA is filed under the name uncultured bacterium. Its description in RNAcentral is "bacterial SSU rRNA". It matches the Rfam family "Bacterial small subunit ribosomal RNA", at positions 524 to 898 of the family's 1533-position model. The record is from RNAcentral.
UACGGGGGUGGCGAGCGUUACUCGGAUUUAUUGGGUGUAAAGGGCAGGUAGGUGUCCCACUAAGUUAGAAGUGAAAUCCUGCAGCUCAACUGCAGAACUGCUUUUAAAACUGAUGGGAUUGAGGACAGGAGAGGAGAGCGGAAUUCCCGGUGUAAGGGUGAAAUCUGUAGAGAUCGGGAGGAACACCUGUGGCGAAAGCGGCUCUCUGGUCUGUCCCUGACGCUGAACUGCGAAAGCUAGGGGAGCAAACAGGAUUAGAUACCCUGGUAGUCCUAGCCGUAAACUAUGAGCACUAGGUGUUGGGGGGUUAAACCUUCAGCGCCGUAAGUUAACACGUUAAGUGCUCCACCUGGGGACUACGACCGCAAGGUUAAA